This 710-nucleotide ribosomal RNA is filed under the name Streptomyces sp. AC135. RNAcentral's name for it is "bacterial SSU rRNA". It matches the Rfam family "Bacterial small subunit ribosomal RNA", at positions 125 to 846 of the family's 1533-position model. Lineage: Bacteria; Bacillati; Actinomycetota; Actinomycetes; Kitasatosporales; Streptomycetaceae. The record is from RNAcentral.
UCUGCCCUGCACUCUGGGACAAGCCCUGGAAACGGGGUCUAAUACCGGAUACUGACCCGCUUGGGCAUCCAAGCGGUUCGAAAGCUCCGGCGGUGCAGGAUGAGCCCGCGGCCUAUCAGCUUGUUGGUGAGGUAAUGGCUCACCAAGGCGACGACGGGUAGCCGGCCUGAGAGGGCGACCGGCCACACUGGGACUGAGACACGGCCCAGACUCCUACGGGAGGCAGCAGUGGGGAAUAUUGCACAAUGGGCGAAAGCCUGAUGCAGCGACGCCGCGUGAGGGAUGACGGCCUUCGGGUUGUAAACCUCUUUCAGCAGGGAAGAAGCGAAAGUGACGGUACCUGCAGAAGAAGCGCCGGCUAACUACGUGCCAGCAGCCGCGGUAAUACGUAGGGCGCGAGCGUUGUCCGGAAUUAUUGGGCGUAAAGAGCUCGUAGGCGGCUUGUCACGUCGGUUGUGAAAGCCCGGGGCUUAACCCCGGGUCUGCAGUCGAUACGGGCAGGCUAGAGUUCGGUAGGGGAGAUCGGAAUUCCUGGUGUAGCGGUGAAAUGCGCAGAUAUCAGGAGGAACACCGGUGGCGAAGGCGGAUCUCUGGGCCGAUACUGACGCUGAGGAGCGAAAGCGUGGGGAGCGAACAGGAUUAGAUACCCUGGUAGUCCACGCCGUAAACGGUGGGCACUAGGUGUGGGCGACAUUCCACGUCGUCCGUGC